RNAcentral lists this ribosomal RNA (834 nucleotides) under uncultured bacterium. Its description in RNAcentral is "bacterial SSU rRNA". It matches the Rfam family "Bacterial small subunit ribosomal RNA", at positions 105 to 935 of the family's 1533-position model. The record is from RNAcentral.
GGUGAGUAAUGUCUGGGGAUCUGCCCGAUAGAGGGGGAUAACCACUGGAAACGGUGGCUAAUACCGCAUAACGUCGUGACUGGGAAAACCAGGACCUUCGGGCCUCUCACUAUCGGAUGAACCCAGAUGGGAUUAGCUAGUAGGCGGGGUAAUGGCCCACCUAGGCGACGAUCCCUAGCUGGUCUGAGAGGAUGACCAGCCACACUGGAACUGAGACACGGUCCAGACUCCUACGGGAGGCAGCAGUGGGGAAUAUUGCACAAUGGGCGCAAGCCUGAUGCAGCCAUGCCGCGUGUAUGAAGAAGGCCUUCGGGUUGUAAAGUACUUUCAGCGGGGAGGAAGGCGAUGGGGUUAAUAACCCUGUCGAUUGACGUUACCCGCAGAAGAAGCACCGGCUAACUCCGUGCCAGCAGCCGCGGUAAUACGGAGGGUGCAAGCGUUGAUCGGAAUUACUGGGCGUAAAGCGCACGCAGGCGGUCUGUUAAGUCAGAUGUGAAAUCCCCGGGCUUAACCUGGGAACUGCAUUUGAAACUGGCAGGCUUGAGUCUUGUAGAGGGGGGUAGAAUUCCAGGUGUAGCGGUGAAAUGCGUAGAGAUCUGGAGGAAUACCGGUGGCGAAGGCGGCCCCCUGGACAAAGACUGACGCUCAGGUGCGAAAGCGUGGGGAGCAAACAGGAUUAGAUACCCUGGUAGUCCACGCCGUAAACGAUGUCGACUUGGAGGUUGUUCCCUUGANGAGUGGCUUCCGGAGCUAACGCGUUAAGUCGACCGCCUGGGGAGUACGGCCGCAAGGUUAAAACUCAAAUGAAUUGACGGGGGCCCGCACAAGCGGUGG